CAAUAUCUGAAGGAGGGUAUUAUACCUCAAUUUAGCACAGCUAUAUUGUUAAACUUUUGCAGAGCAAGACACGUAAUUAGUAUCUUGCUGUUUAUGAUAGCUGUAUGUUGAUGAUGAGAUACAGGUCUUCAUCAGGCAAACAUUGUUAUAAAGCUUCUCUUGGAGUGUGUGUCUCAUGGGCUUUAUCUUUACAAAGGCUGCCUACUUCUGUAUUAACACUUCAGUUAAAUCUAGGUUUUUGUUCAUCUGUAAAUAAGGUUAUUUGUCCGUAUAUAUAUAUACAUAUACUAAUAUGACAACAUUCAGAUUAAAAAAUCAUUAUGGGACAGUUUAUGAUUAUUCUGCUUCCAAGGAGGAAAUUGGACAUAGUGAUGACGCCCAGGUGGCCAAAGGAUAUGGAGAAAAAAACAAUUUUCAAUGGGAAUUUCAAAGCAAAGCUGGUACUGGGGGAAAUCACACAGCCCUUUGGAAGAAGAAUAGUGAAAAUACAGAUAUGGCACCUCUAUUCUCAAGAUUAGACAUCUACUUCAGGGUAAAAUUGAAAGUACAAGCCAGGAUUCUUGAAAAGACUCACUGACUCAGACAACAUCAACUGACACAAAUAUUUCAUUAACGAUCACCAGAGAAGACAGCAAUGGCCACCAAAACACUAUGAAACACCUGUGGUAUGGACAAAGUUUGUUCAUUGUUUUUGUAAAGUACUUCUAAGAAUCUGAAAUGUCUGGUUGUACCUUCCAUAUCGGUACUUUAAAUCCAUCUAUAAAUGGGUGCAAUUGCUAGUAUUUUUUAAGCACUUUUUUGAGAUGCAAUUCUAUUUAUCUUACUAAAUGUUUUGCACUUUAUAACAACACAUAAAGUAGUACUGUUCUAUAUUAGUAAAAGAAAAAUUAUGAGGAACUUCUUGUGCAGUAAAUUACAAGCAAGGACAAAUUUAAAAGACUUGUCCUUGACUGCCUUAUUUCUACUGGGCAAAAAUAAGCCUUAGUGAUUUAUGAUAAGAGAAAUAAUGACUUUAUUAAAGACUUGUUCAAGCUCAUUUUGCAAAAUAUAUAGUACAUGUGAUCAUUUAUUACUGAUUUUUUAUGCUUCAGUUGUACUAUGAGACACACAUCAUUUGCUUAUUUCAUUAAAACCUUUUCUACAAAAAAGAAGAUAUUAGGUCAUCAACCUAAUAUUACAAAUU
This 1183-nucleotide long non-coding RNA is filed under the name Anser cygnoides (Swan goose). RNAcentral describes it as "lncRNA (ENSACDG00005004342.1)". Lineage: Eukaryota; Metazoa; Chordata; Aves; Anseriformes; Anatidae. The record is from RNAcentral.